UGCUCCCGUCAGUGCUCUCCACUUCAGUGUUUCCUGCACCUCCCCUCACCCUUUCUAGAAGCUGUGUGUUCAGUAAAUAGUGCCAAGCUCCAGGAGACAGAUGCAAACUGAAAGGACAGCAGGAAUCAGGACUCUCUGGUUCUCAAGCACACCCUAGUGUGGUGUCUUGGACAUAGAGCUCUUGCUGAACAUUGAAUGGGACCACGGAGUGGGACAUCCAGAUUCCAUGUUUCCUUACACAGUACGAUGUGAAGCACACAGCACUGCCGGACAUGUUGGUAUGUGAAAACAGUUGAUCUUUAGAC
This is a long non-coding RNA of Heterocephalus glaber (naked mole-rat), 305 nucleotides long. RefSeq lists it as uncharacterized. The record is from RefSeq and is a predicted model, not a curated record. Lineage: Eukaryota; Metazoa; Chordata; Mammalia; Rodentia; Bathyergidae.